Molecule: ribosomal RNA, 253 nt
Filed under: uncultured bacterium
Lineage: Bacteria
Description: partial 16S ribosomal RNA
Rfam family: Bacterial small subunit ribosomal RNA
Source: RNAcentral
UACGAGGGGGGCGAGCGUUGUUCGGAAUUAUUGGGCGUAAAGGGUGCGUAGGCGGUUUGGUAAGUCUUAUGUGAAAUCUAUGGGCUCAACUCAUAGUCUGCAUGAGAAACUGCCGGGCUUGAGUGUGGGAGAGGUGAGUGGAAUUUCCGGUGUAGCGGUGAAAUGCGUAGAUAUCGGAAGGAACACCAACGGCGAAAGCACUCUGCUGGGCCGACACUGACACUGAGAGACGAAAGCUAGGGGAGCAAAUGGG